UUGAACGCUAGCGGCAUGCCUUACACAUGCAAGUCGAACGGCAGCGCGGGGCAACCUGGCGGCGAGUGGCGAACGGGUGAGUAACGUAUCGGAACGUACCCAGUAGCGGGGGAUAACUACGCGAAAGCGUAGCUAAUACCGCAUACGCCCUACGGGGGAAAGGGGGGGAUCGCAAGACCUCUCACUAUUGGAGCGGCCGAUAUCGGAUUAGCUAGUUGGUGAGGUAAAGGCUCACCAAGGCUUCGAUCCGUAGCUGGUUUGAGAGGACGACCAGCCACACUGGGACUGAGACACGGCCCAGACUCCUACGGGAGGCAGCAGUGGGGAAUUUUGGACAAUGGGGGAAACCCUGAUCCAGCAAUGCCGCGUGUGCGAAGAAGGCCUUCGGGUUGUAAAGCACUUUUGGCAGGAACGAAACGGCGCCGGAUAAUACCUGGUGUCACUGACGGUACCUGCAGAAUAAGCACCGGCUAACUACGU
Molecule: ribosomal RNA, 480 nt
Filed under: uncultured bacterium
Lineage: Bacteria
Description: bacterial SSU rRNA
Rfam family: Bacterial small subunit ribosomal RNA
Source: RNAcentral